Molecule: ribosomal RNA, 386 nt
Filed under: uncultured Katablepharidophyta
Lineage: Eukaryota; Cryptophyceae; Kathablepharidacea
Description: partial small subunit ribosomal RNA
Rfam family: Eukaryotic small subunit ribosomal RNA
Source: RNAcentral
GCUUGUCUCAAAGAUUAAGCCAUGCAUGUCUAAGUGUAAAUAAGUCUAUACUGUGAAACUGCGAAUGGCUCAUUAAAUCAGUUAUCGUUUAUUUGAUGAUCUCUUACUACUUGGAUAACCGUAGUAAUUCUAGAGCUAAUACAUGCACAAAAUCCCGACUUACGAAGGGAUGUAUUUAUUAGAUACAAACCAACAUCGUGGUGAUUCAUAAUAACUUUGCGAAUCGUAUGCCUCACGGCGACGAUGAAUCAUUCAAAUUUCUGCCCUAUCAACUUUCGAUGGUAGUGUAUUGGACUACCAUGGCGGUGACGGGUAACGAAGAAUAAGGGUUCGGUUUCGGAGAGGGAGCCUGAGAGAUGGCUACCACAUCCAAGGAAGGCAGCAGG